GGGAAUUUGGCUCAGUGGUAGAGCGCUUGCCUAGCAAGCACAAGGCCCUGGGUUCAGUUUCCAGCUCCCG
This 70-nucleotide transfer RNA is filed under the name Rattus norvegicus (Norway rat). It matches the Rfam family "tRNA". From Rfam's summary of the family: Transfer RNA (tRNA) molecules are approximately 80 nucleotides in length. The record is from Rfam by way of RNAcentral. Lineage: Eukaryota; Metazoa; Chordata; Mammalia; Rodentia; Muridae.